This 300-nucleotide ribosomal RNA is filed under the name uncultured bacterium. Its description in RNAcentral is "bacterial SSU rRNA". It matches the Rfam family "Bacterial small subunit ribosomal RNA", at positions 337 to 651 of the family's 1533-position model. The record is from RNAcentral.
UCCUACGGGGGGCAGCAGUGGGGAAUAUUGGGCAAUGGGCGCAAGCCUGACCCAGCAACGCCGCGUGAAGGAAGAAGGCUUUCGGGUUGCAAACUUCUUUUGUCAGGGACGAAGCAAGUGACGGUACCUGACGAAUAAGCCACGGCUAACUACGUGCCAGCAGCCGCGGUAAUACGUAGGUGGCAAGCGUUAUCCGGAUUUACUGGGUGUAAAGGGAGCGUAGACGGCGAUGCAAGCCAGAUGUGAAAGCCCGGGGCUCAACCCCGGGACUGCAUUUGGAACUGUAUAGCUAGAGUGUCG